This 343-nucleotide ribosomal RNA is filed under the name uncultured bacterium. RNAcentral's name for it is "bacterial SSU rRNA". It matches the Rfam family "Bacterial small subunit ribosomal RNA", at positions 28 to 369 of the family's 1533-position model. The record is from RNAcentral.
GACGAACGCUGGCGGCGUGCUUAACACAUGCAAGUCGAGCGGUAAGGCCCUUUCGGGGGUACACGAGCGGCGAACGGGUGAGUAACACGUGGGUGACCUGCCCUCAGCUCUGGGAUAAGCCUGGGAAACCGGGUCUAAUACUGGAUAUGACUCCAUGACGCAUGUUGUGGGGUGGAAAGCCUUGUGCGGCUGAGGAUGGGCCCGCGGCCUAUCAGCUUGUUGGUGGGGUGANGGCCUACCAAGGCGACGACGGGUAGCCGGCCUGAGAGGGCGACCGGCCACACUGGGACUGAGACACGGGCCCAGACUCCGUACGGGAGGCAGCAGGUGGGGAAUCUUGCGC